This 74-nucleotide transfer RNA is filed under the name Pseudomonadota bacterium. Its description in RNAcentral is "tRNA-Val". It matches the Rfam family "tRNA". From Rfam's summary of the family: Transfer RNA (tRNA) molecules are approximately 80 nucleotides in length. Their secondary structure includes four short double-helical elements and three loops (D, anti-codon, and T loops). The record is from RNAcentral. Lineage: Bacteria; Pseudomonadati; Pseudomonadota. RNAcentral also lists the same sequence under 6 other names.
GGGCGGGUAGCUCAGUUGGUUAGAGCAUCGCGUUGACAUCGCGAAGGUCGUAGGUUCGAGCCCUAUCUCGCCCA